CCUACGGGAGACAGCAGUGAGGAAUAUUGGUCAAUGGACGAGAGUCUGAACCAGCCAAGUAGCGUGAAGGAUGACUGCCCUAUGGGUUGUAAACUUCUUUUAUAUGGGAAUAAAACGUUCCACGUGUGGGAUUUUGUAUGUACCAUAUGAAUAAGGAUCGGCUAACUCCGUGCCAGCAGCCGCGGUAAUACGGAGGAUCCGAGCGUUAUCCGGAUUUAUUGGGUUUAAAGGGAGCGUAGGUGGAUUGUUAAGUCAGUUGUGAAAGUUUGCGGCUCAACCGUAGAAUUGCAGUUGAAACUGGCAGUCUUGAGUACAGUAGAGGUGGGCGGAAUUCGUGGUGUAGCGGUGAAAUGCUUAGAUAUCACGAAGAACUCCGGUUGCGAAGGCAGUUCACUGGACUGCAACUGACACUGAGGCUCGAAAGUGUGGGUAUCAAACAGGAUUAGAUACCCCUGUAGUC
Molecule: ribosomal RNA, 460 nt
Filed under: uncultured bacterium
Lineage: Bacteria
Description: partial 16S ribosomal RNA
Rfam family: Bacterial small subunit ribosomal RNA
Source: RNAcentral